GUUAAUAAUUUUUUAUAGAUGCUACAAACAUCAGAUCAUGUAUUCUUUCACAAUGACCAAACUAUCAUGACGUUUGAAUACAAAAUAUAUAUAGACAGCAUGUAAGCUAUUGACAAUAAAACAAUGACAAACAUCAUAUCAAAAUGGAAAACAAACACUGGCAAAAAAACAGAUUUGAUGUUUACGCAGAUUUUCUGCAAACCUGUCAGUAUUACCUUGGGUAUACUGAUGUCCUUAUAACAAAGAAUGAAACAAUCUCUAACACAUGGUAGGACUUGCUCGGAUCUUAACAUCAAUACACAUUCACACAAACACACCAUCAUCUUCACCACACAGUUAUUAAUGUACAAAACACAGUGUCUGCUACAAUUACCACUGAAUAAUGUUUCACCUCCAAGUCAUUGACAGGUAGUGAUUGUUCCUCACGACUGGAUUCUAGGGGUGAAACGAUACAGCCAGGUCACGAUACGAUCCGUAACACGAUACAUAAGUUCACGAUGCGAUGCUAUACGCAUAUUUACGUCAAAUCGCAAGGAAACUUCUUCACAAUAAAUAAUUCAGAGCAGUUUCAAAAGGAAAACCGAGCAGUAGACAUGUUCGUAGCGGCUUUUUUUCAGUAGUGAACUUAAACGCUUAUUACAACACAUCCUGCCAUAUAUGACUGACAAAAACGCCAGGGGUACAAAUAGUGAGUCAUUUAUUUCAGCAAGUGUUUUCAUCUUGUA
This is a long non-coding RNA of Haliotis rufescens (red abalone), 725 nucleotides long. RefSeq lists it as uncharacterized. The record is from RefSeq and is a predicted model, not a curated record. NCBI's taxonomy places the organism in Eukaryota, Metazoa, Mollusca, Gastropoda, Lepetellida, Haliotidae. The transcript is spliced from 2 exons.